This 3064-nucleotide ribosomal RNA is filed under the name Candidatus Dojkabacteria bacterium. RNAcentral's name for it is "23S ribosomal RNA". It matches the Rfam family "Bacterial large subunit ribosomal RNA". The record is from RNAcentral.
UUAUAAGCAAUUAAGAGUAUAUGGUGAAUGCCUUGGCACAAAAAGCCGAAGAAGGACGUGGCAGGCUGCGAUAAGCCUCGGAUAGCCGUCAACAGGCGCUUUAAUCCGGGGAUUUCCGAAUGGGGAAACCCACUUCUGUUUAAACAGAUUUACUACAUGCUGAAUAUAUAGGCAUGUUAGAGGUAAGCCGGUGAAUUGAAACAUCUCAGUAACCGGAAGAAAAAAGACAAAGAUUGUUAUUCCCUAAGUAGUGGCGAGCGAAAGGGGAAGAGCCCAAACUUCACAGGUAGGACAAGACUUCUGAGUCUGCGUUGCAGACAAGGUCGUCAAGUCGUCCCGGCAGGGAUGGUUGCAGUGAAGGGUUGUAGGGUGUAGCGACGGUAAUCUGCCGAGUACCGAGACAAGUUACCAAACAUAUAAUUAGUAAAAUACGGUUGGAAAGCCGAACCAAAGAAGGUAAUAGUCCUGUAUGCGAAAAUUAUAUGUCUUGUCAGUUACAUACCUAAGUAUCACGGUCUAGGAGUAAUCCCGUGAGAAUCUGCCGGAACCACCCGGUAAGGCUAAAUACUUUUUGUGACCGAUAGUGAACAAGUACCGUGAGGGAAAGGUGAAAAGAACCCCUGUUAGGGGAGUGAAAUAGAAUCUGAAACCAUAUACUUACAAGCAGUCAAAGCAUCAAUUUAUUGGUGUGAUGGCGUGCCUAUUGAAGAAUGAGCCUGCGAGUUAUUAUGUACCGUGCGGUUAAACUGUUAAGCAGUGGAGCCAAAGGGAAACCAAGUCUGAAAGGGCGACUUUAUGGUGCAUAAUAGACCCGAAACCGAGUGAGCCACCCAUGAGCAGGAUGAACCUCGUAGAAAUACGAGGGGAGGUCCGAACCAGUGAAUGUUUCAAAAUUCUUGGAUGACUUGUGGGUAGAGGUUACACGUCUAUCGAACUCGGAUAUAGCUGGUUCUCUCCGAAACAACUUUCGGGUUGGCCUUGGUUAGUAGCACAUGGAGGUAGAGCACUGAUUCGAUCGUCGGGGGAUUCGUCCUUACGGCAUCUUCUCAAACUCCGAAUGCCAUGUGUGUAAGACCAGGAGUUAGACUGUGGGAGAUAAGUUUCAUUUGUCAAAAGGGGAACAGCCCAGACCAUCUGCUAAGGUCCCUAAAUCUAUGCUAAGUGGAGAAGGAUGUGAGAUUUCAUAAACAGCCAGGAGGUUUGCUUAGAGGCAGCAAUCCUUUAAAGAGUGCGUAACAGCUCACUGGUCUAGAGGUCUUGCGCCGAUAAUUUAACGGGGCUCAAGCAUAGUACCGAAGCAAUGGAAUUGUGGUUCACACAAAGUGUUUUUAUGUAAGAUAACUAUGAACUCUUUGUGUGAACCAUAAUUGGUAGGAGAGCGUUGUGUGUGCGUUGAAGGCGUAGUUGUAAGACUUACUGGAGCGCACACAAGUGAGAAUGCAGGCAUGAGUAGCGUAAUCCAGGUGAAAAACCUGGACACCGAAUGAGUAAGGUUUCCUUGGCCAUGUUAGUCAUCCAAGGGUUAGUCGGUCCUAAGCCGAGGCUGAAAAGCGUAGGUGAUGGACAUCCGGUUAAUAUUCCGGAACCAUUCGUGUAUCGUUAUCAACUAUGGGGAGACUGGAGAGGAGAUUCUGAAGUGCUGAUAGGUCAGCAUUCAAGCAACAAGCCAGUUCUGUUAGGUAAAUCCGGCAGAACGCUAACGCGAGUUGUUACGACGAGCCAAAUCCUACGGGAAGCGGCGAGUUCAGAUAUUCUGUCUACUAGAAAACCCUCUAUGUGAGAUACAUGAUUGACCGUACCGCAAACCGACACUGGUACUCUGGUAGAGUAUACCAAGGUGUACGAGUUAGCCCUCGUUAAGGAAUUCGGCAAUUUAACCCCGUAACUUAGGGAGAAGGGGUCCCAGCGAUCUUCGGAUUUGCUGGGCGCAGAUAAAUGGCCCAAUCGACUGUUUAACAAAAACACAGGUCCCUGCAAAAGCGCAAGCUGAAGUAUAGGGGCUGACACCUGCCCAAUGCCAGAAGAUUACGGAAGGCGGUUAUCCACUUCGGUGGAGAAGCUGCUGACUUAAGUCCUGGUCAAUGGCGGCUGUAACUAUAACGGUCCUAAGGUAGCGAAGUUCCUCGGCGCUUAAUAGGCGUCCCGCACGAAAGGUGUAACGAGUUGGGCACUGUCUCAACGAGGGGCUCGGCGAACAUUGAAAUGGCAGUGAAGAUGCUGCCUACCCACACCAGGACAAAAAGACCCCGGGAUCUUUACUGCAUCUUGGCAUUGGAAUAGAGUUCCUUUUGUAGAGCGUAGGAGGGAGACUUUGAAGCAUUCGCGUCAGCGGGUGUGGAGUCGACAAUGUAACACCUCCCUUAAGCUAUUCUAUUUCUUAUUUCGACCGUAAUCCGGUUUGAAAGACAUUGUCAGGUGGGCAGUUUGACUGGGGCGGUUUCUUACUAAAGAGUAACGUAAGAUUUCAAAGGUCGACUCAAGCUGGAUGGAAAUCAGCUGUAGAGCGUAAUGGUAUAAGUCGGCUUUACUGCGAGACUGACAAGUCGAGCAGUUACGAAAGUAGGACAUAGUGACCCUUAGAUGGCGUGUGGAAGCGUCUUUGUUUAAAGGAUAAAAGUUACCCCGGGGAUAACAGGCUGGUCUUGCCCAAGCGUUCAUAGCGACGGCAAGGUUCGGCACCUCGAUGUCGGCUCGUCGCAUCCUGGGGGUGAAGAAGCUCCCAAGGGUUGGGCUGUUCGCCCAUUAAAGCGGCACGCGAGCUGGGUUCAAACCGACGUGAGUCAGGUUGGUCUCUAUCCGGUGUGGGCGUUAGAAUCUUGAGGGAAUUGACUUUCAGUACGAGAGGAUCAAGGUGAGGUUACCACUGGUGAACCAGUUGUCCUACCAGGGGCAUAGCUGGGUAGCUACGUAGCUAUUUGGAUAAACGCUGAAAGCAUAUAAGCGUGAAGCCAAUCCCAAGAUGAGGAUUCUUUUAAGUCCCCCUGUAGAUAACAGGGUAUAUAGACUCCAGGUGUAAGCACAGUAAUGUGUGUAGCCGAGGAGAAACUAAUUGGACGUCAGCUUA